RNAcentral lists this long non-coding RNA (1318 nucleotides) under Gossypium barbadense (sea-island cotton). Its description in RNAcentral is "long non-coding RNA (GBAR_LNC003373)". Lineage: Eukaryota; Viridiplantae; Streptophyta; Magnoliopsida; Malvales; Malvaceae. The record is from RNAcentral.
UGAAGCAAUAAAACUCGUGACCAACAACCGCCCCUUAAUUAUUCAAGUAUGUAUUCAGUCACAAUAUUGAAUAGACAACGAAAUGAAACAAAAAAGAAGUGAAAAUUUUUGUUGCACACAAUCGUUUAUUAAUACAAUUUGAAAAUAAUUUUAUUCUGCAAAGUAUCUGUAAGGCCCAAAUUUUGCCAGGGGCCCAAAAACCAAAUAAAACAAUUACAAAACCCAUUACCCAGUUGCAAGCCCAAUAAGCCCAAUAAACAUAAAAACUUAGCCCACAAAAUAUUUUUUGCUAAACAAGUAAAAAACCCUAGCCCCAAGCAUGUGGCCGCGGAACCAUCGGCCUCCCCACGCGUGCUCGGCCACCACGCCUCUGUCAUCUCCACUCCGCACGCCUCUAAGGGUCAUCUGACACCUGCAAAAUGAAGCAGACACCAAGACAGAAGCAGACAAACGAAAAUGACAAAAAUAAAUAAGAUUUUCCUACUAUUGUAACCGGCUAUAAAGCCGAGAAGAAACGAAUGUAUUAAGGGGGUUUUUUUUUCCAAAUUUAAAAAAAGCGGUUUUUUCGAAUUCAAAAAGGGGGGAACUGAUUGUGAAUGGGGGGAUUCUUGAAUAUUCAAAAAAUCAAUACAAAAAAGGUCCCAUAGAAAUCAAAAUACAAAAAAUAGUAAAAAGGUUGUUCCUUUUUCUUGAUUAUUUUGCUUUCAUGCUUGUUUUGUUAGGAAAAAAGAAAAUAAAAAGAAAAGAGAAGAAAAAAAACAUUACCUUUCUUAAGAUUGGAGGAGGAAACCGAGGGUUUAUUGUCUGUUGUUUUAUUUUUUAAGAGUUUUGGGUUUUAAAACGAGGUAGGGAGAGCCAAAUCGGCCGAAAAAAGGGUGACUUCGGAACGUCAGCCACCGUAUACGGUGGCGGUCUGACGACGGCGGUGAAAUGGGUUCCUUUUGAAACCCUAGCAGAUCUAAAAAUGAAGAAAUGGUGGGGGGAACAGCUGCUGUUCGUUUCUGGAAAAGAAAGAAAAUGAAAGAUUCCUUUUUUUAAAAAAAAAUUGACCCUUUUAUACAUUAACUAAAACAACGGCGUUUGGGUAAGAGGAAAGGGUCCAUGCGCCUAAAAUGGAUAAUUUUUGUAGCUAGUCCCUUGGACUUUUCUGGGUUUUCAUUCUAAUCCCAUUUUCCUUUUUAUUUUUCUUCAAAUUUUCCUCUUUAAUUUUAUUUCAUUUUUAAUUUAACCCAGGGCCUUGUUAGUCAAAACGCAACGCAAAAAGACUAGGGAUAUUAUCCCGUUUAGUCCCUGCUAGUUUCAGCGCACCACAAUUUGG